GAUGAACGCUAGCGACAGGCUUAACACAUGCAAGUCGAGGGGCAGCACAGGUAGCAAUACCGGGUGGCGACCGGCGCACGGGUGAGUAACGCGUAUGCAACUUACCUAUCAGAGGGGGAUAACCCGGCGAAAGUCGGACUAAUACCGCAUGAAGCAGGGGUCCCGCAUGGGGAUAUUUGCUAAAGAUUCAUCGCUGAUAGAUAGGCAUGCGUUCCAUUAGGCAGUUGGCGGGGUAACGGCCCACCAAACCGACGAUGGAUAGGGGUUCUGAGAGGAAGGUCCCCCACAUUGGUACUGAGACACGGACCAAAAUCCUACGGGAGGCAGCAGUGAGGAAUAUUGGUCAAUGGCCGAGAGGCUGAACCAGCCAAGUCGCGUGAGGGAUGAAGGUUCUAUGGAUCGUAAACCUCUUUUAGAAGGGAAUAAAGUGCGGGACGUGUCCCGUUUUGUAUGUACCUUAUGAAUAAGGAUCGGCUAACUCCGUG
RNAcentral lists this ribosomal RNA (485 nucleotides) under uncultured bacterium. Its description in RNAcentral is "partial 16S ribosomal RNA". It matches the Rfam family "Bacterial small subunit ribosomal RNA", at positions 28 to 507 of the family's 1533-position model. The record is from RNAcentral.